AGGAUUCCCUCAGUAGCGGCGAGCGAACAGGGAUCAGUCCAGCACCGAAUCUCGCGCUCCUAAAGGGCGCCGAGAACUGUGGUGUUCGGGAGGACCUCGAGCGUCUGUCCGGUACGUAUCGUCCAAGUCUCCAUGAACGGGGCUAUCAACCCACAGAGGGUGUCAGGCCCGUAGGCUGGCGAGCCGAGACCGCGCACCGGGUCCGUUCCCAAGAGUCGGGUUGCUUGAGCGUGCAGCCCUAAGCGGGAGGUAAACUCCUUCUAAGGCUAAAUAUCGCCACGAGACCGAUAGCGAACAAGUACCGCGAGGGAAAGUUGAAAAGAACUUUGAAGAGAGAGUUCAAGAGUGCGUGAAACCGUUCAGGGGGUUAAACGGGUGAGCCCUCGAAGGUCGAGGCGUCCUUCUUCCCGUCUUUUUCGGUUGGGGCUUUUGAGGUCCGGGGGAUCCGUAACAGGACUCGCGGCUUCGAAGCAUCCCGGCCGGGGACCGCAAGUGAAGGGCGCGGUAGGACUCCGCGACCGGCUGAGACGCCGUCAGAAGGGCCGUCGGUAACGAGAGUCGUAGGGGUUCGCUCCUGCUUCAUUCGUCCGGCGACACUAGACGGUCGACUCGGCCGUGACCAGUUUCUCUCGGGGCCGGCGUGCCGCACCUCGAGAGCCGAUAGCGGAGAGUAAAAGUCGGGUCUCACCCGACCCGUCUUGAAACACGGACCAAGGAGUCUAACAUGUGCGCGAGUCGUCGAGUAGAUAACUAAACUCGCGAGGCGCAAUGAAAGUAAAGUGUCCCCGAUGAGGGUGCAGCACGAUGGGAGAUGCCGUCUCUAUAACAAACCGGAGCGGCCGCAUCCCAAGGGCGUUCGAUGCCGCGCCUCAGCCGGCCGAACGAACCCAGAGCGUACACGUUGGGACCCGAAAGAUGGUGACCUAUGCCUGACCAGGACGAAGCCAGGGGAAACCCUGGUGGAGG
Molecule: ribosomal RNA, 966 nt
Filed under: Diaphanosoma sp. DJT-2002
Lineage: Eukaryota; Metazoa; Arthropoda; Branchiopoda; Diplostraca; Sididae
Description: partial 28S ribosomal RNA
Rfam family: Eukaryotic large subunit ribosomal RNA
Source: RNAcentral